This 832-nucleotide ribosomal RNA is filed under the name uncultured bacterium. RNAcentral describes it as "bacterial SSU rRNA". It matches the Rfam family "Bacterial small subunit ribosomal RNA", at positions 8 to 806 of the family's 1533-position model. The record is from RNAcentral.
AGAGUUUGAUCUUGGCUCAGAACGAACGCUGGCGGCGUGGCUAAGACAUGCAAGUCGUACGGACCGCGGUAGCAAUAUUGCGGUUAGUGGCGAAAGGGUGAGUAAUGCAUGGGUAACGUACCCUGAACUCGGGGAUAACAGCGGGAGCAAUCCCUUUAGCGAAAGUGCUGCUAAUACCCGAUGAAGUCGCCGGGUCGCAUGACCGGGCGACCAAAGGUGGGGACCGCAAGGCCUGCCGGUUUGGGAGCGGCCCAUGUCCUAUCAGCUAGUUGGUGAGGUAACGGCUUACCAAGGCUAUGACGGGUAGCCGGACUGAGAGGUCGAUCGGCCGCAUCGGGACUGAGACACUGCCCGGACACCUACGGGUGGCUGCAGUAACGAAUAUUGGGCAAUGGGCGCAAGCCUGACCCAGCGACGCCGCGUACAGGAGGAAGUCCUUCGGGAUGUAAACUGCUGUCAGGGGCUAGCAAGCAAAGGGUGUUAACAGCAUCCGGCGUUGAGCCGCCCCAGAGGAAGCCUCGACUAACUCUGUGCCAGCAGUCGCGGUAAGACAGAGGAGGCAAGCGUUGUUCGGAAUCACUGGGCUUAAAGCGCGUGUAGGCGGCGGCGCAAGUGUCGUGUGAAAUCCCACGGCUCAACCGUGGAACUGCACGGCAAACUACGUCGCUUGAGGUUGGUAGAGGUGCCUGGAACUCUCGGUGGAGCGGUGAAAUGCGUUGAUAUCGAGAGGAACGCCGGAAGCGAAAGCGAGGCACUGGGCCGAUUCUGACGCUGAGACGCGAAAGCGUGGGGAGCAAACAGGAUUAGAUACCCUGGUAGUCCACGCUGUAAA